UGGAGCUGGAGAAGUAAGGAUGGUGUUUCUGGCUGGCUGUGGGGCUGGACAGAUUGGUACUGGCUGGAGUCAGGCCGUAAAGAAGAGGGCUGAGUCACUGAAAAACCUGUCUGAGAUGGUUAACUGUAUGCAGCAAUGCAGAGGGAGUGCAGGUGCAGAGACACACCCAGCUGGCAGGGGUGUCCAUGUGAGGAAGGAGGAGAAUGGGAAAUUUCUUAGCUCAAGUAUCUAGCAUAUCCUUCCAACAUAAAACAGAAGAUGGGAAGUUAUUCUGACACAUAGGGUGAAGAAUGAGAAGAGUCUACCAACAUACGUAUGGGAAACAAGCAAGAAGAACACAAGAUGGAGCUCCCGGAGCCUACCACUGGAAGACAGGUUUUCUAAUCCAAUAAUCAUUCUCGUGGCUCUUCUCUGAACCCUCUCCGAUCUACCAACAUCCUUGAAUUAUGAUCACCGGAACUGUAU
Molecule: long non-coding RNA, 465 nt
Organism: Mauremys reevesii (Reeves's turtle)
Lineage: Eukaryota; Metazoa; Chordata; Testudines; Geoemydidae
Exons: 4
Source: RefSeq, a predicted model, not a curated record